Molecule: ribosomal RNA, 429 nt
Filed under: uncultured archaeon
Lineage: Archaea
Description: bacterial SSU rRNA
Rfam family: Archaeal small subunit ribosomal RNA
Source: RNAcentral
UACCAGCUCUCCGAGUGGUAGGGAUGAUUAUUGGGCUUAAAGCGUCCGUAGCCGGCUUAGCAAGUCUCCUGUUAAAUUCAGCGACCUAAUCGUUGAGCCGCGGGAGACACUACUAGGCUAGGAGGCGGGAGAGGCCGACGGUAUUCUCGGGGUAGGGGUGAAAUCCUAUAAUCCCGGGAGGACCACCAGUGGCGAAGGCUGUCGACUAGAACGCGCUCGACGGUGAGGGACGAAAGCUGGGGGAGCGAACCGGAUUAGAUACCCGGGUAGUCCCAGCUGUAAACGAUGCGGGCUAGGUGUUGGGGUGGCUACGUGCCACUUCAGUGCCGCAGGGAAGCCAUUAAGCCCGCCGCCUGGGGAGUACGGCCGCAAGGCUGAAACUUAAAGGAAUUGGCGGGGGAGCACCACAAGGCGUGAAGCUUGCGGUUC